RNAcentral lists this ribosomal RNA (253 nucleotides) under uncultured bacterium. RNAcentral describes it as "partial 16S ribosomal RNA". It matches the Rfam family "Bacterial small subunit ribosomal RNA", at positions 524 to 776 of the family's 1533-position model. The record is from RNAcentral.
GACGAAGGGGGCUAGCGUUGUUCGGAAUUACUGGGCGUAAAGCGCGUGUAGGCGGUUGUUCAAGUCCGGUGUGAAAGCCUUGAGCUCAACUCAAGAAAUGCACUUGAUACUGGAUGACUAGAGGACCGGAGAGGAUAGUGGAAUUCCCAGUGUAGUGGUGAAAUACGUAGAGAUUGGGAAGAACACCAGUGGCGAAGGCGGCUCACUGGCUGAAUACUGACGCUAAGGCGCGAAAGCGUGGGGAGCAAACAGG